Long non-coding RNA from Alexandromys fortis (reed vole), 3561 nucleotides. RefSeq lists it as uncharacterized. The transcript is spliced from 3 exons. NCBI's taxonomy places the organism in Eukaryota, Metazoa, Chordata, Mammalia, Rodentia, Cricetidae. The record is from RefSeq and is a predicted model, not a curated record.
GUUUGUUUAUUUAUUUAGACAUUUAGACAAGGUCUCAAUAUGAUAGCUUUGGAAUUUACCAUGUAGAACAGGAUGACCUCAGUUUGAACUCACAGAGAUCUGCCUAUUCUGCCUCCCAAGUUCUGGGAUUAAGGCAUGUGCCAUAUUCAAUUCUACCUUUUUUCUCUUUUUCUUGAGACAGGGUCAGUUAGCUUCAGAAUUUCCCGCCUUGGCCUCCUCAUCCGUGGUGGCGUGUCCACCACCACAUCUGGCUUUUUAUGUGGGUUCUGAGGAGUCAAAUGCAAGUCUCCUUCUUGAGUGGCAAGCGCUUGACCCACUGAGCCGUCUUUCCAACCCUCAACAUCAUCUUAUUCUGUCAAGCCCAUGGUAAGGUGAGCCAGUGCUUACUUCCCAAGUACCACCACGCCUGCCUCACAGGCUCAGUUUGUCCCCUACUCUCAGCAGUCACCACCAGUGACUGCAGCCUGAAAGACCCAAGGGAGCCACAGGUCCAACCGCAUCAUUCUGCAUCAGGCCCCACGGAGGACGCAUCCAAGCCUACAUGGCCUCCGUCUCAACCUCCAACAAGUUCCAAAUCACUCCAAGCAGCAAGUGAGCAACAGGAAUAAAGUUUAUCAGGUGUUUGCGAUGGGUUUAGGUGCUUGACAAAGUCACCAGCGUCGGAUUGGAUUCUGAGGCCGAGAGUUUGGCUGACUUGCCCAGUUAAGAGGCCCGCAGCUAGGAGGAGGCUGAGUUGGGAGCCAAAAUCUAGGUCAUCUGGAACCUGAAAGUUGCUAUGCACCAAGCGGAUCUGAAGCUAACUUGCGAGGACAAAUCUUUCCUUCUCUAGGGCCUGGGAAAUGAACGAUGAGAGAAGCAAGCAGAGAGUCAUAGGACGCAACACUGCCCAGUGCCCACACCCACUGCUUUGGGCAUUGUAACCCUGGGUCGUUAAAUCAGAGUCUAUGAAGCUUCCACUCAUAAGAGCUGGUGGGAACCUCCUGAGAAUUUUUUUUUUUUUUGUCUCAAGACUUGUACUUCCCAAGUUCAGAGGCUGUAUGGUUGGACUCCUUGCCUCUCACCCCAGAUGUGUUAGUUUCAUUUUCAACCAUUAAGCAAGGAGGACCCAGUGCUGCAAGGUGCAUGUUCUAGUUUCAGUUCUGAUGCUAGUACUCAAAGCAACUUUGCAGAGGAAAAUAUGUCUUUGACUUACCCUGCCAGGUACAUCAUUGUGGGCAGGAACUCAAGGGAGACCUUGAAACCAAGCCUGUAGAAAGAAUGCUGCCUGCCGGCUCAUUGACAAACUCAUGCUUCGCUAACUUUCUACCACAACCCAGCAUUGACUGACUGUCUGCCCAGGGGGUGGUACUGCUCACAGCGGGCUGGACCUUUCUACAUCAACUAACAAGAAGACAAUACCCUACGGACAUGUGCGCAGGUCUGAUCUGGGCACUCCGCUGAGACUCCCUUCUCAGAUGAUUCUAGACAGGGUCAAGUUAACAGUUAAUGCUAACGAGGACAAUGGUUGCCAGUUUCAGCCACUGGAAUUCUGACUCCCAAGUUCGAGGUCAACUGUGCCCUCUGGUGGACAGGAGCAGAUCUUAGCAUUAGAGGCAAUGGUUCUUCCGUGGGGGGACUUUCUCAUGGAGAUUGUAUGAAUAGUGUAUUAGAGGAUGAUGUUUUUCUUCUUUUCACCCAGGGUGGUGAGACAGAUUCCUAAACCUGUUGUUUUGUGGGGGAGGGGAACACUGGGAAGAAAGACAAAUAUGUGUGUGUGUGUGUGUGUGUGUGUGUGUGUGUGUGUGUUACAGUGAGGAUCCUUAAGGAGGAAUAGAAGCUUCUAGACUUCAGUCCUUUCUAGCAACACCCACAGAUCUCCUGCACCACGCAUGCAUAACCCAUUUGUGAGUGAAAAAUCAAAAAAUCCCAAAAUCUUCAACGAGACCCCAAAACCACACCAGAGGGUCUCCCUGCCAAGCUUCUCAGUGAUGGUGGUCACCUCUGGUCUGUGUUUUGUCUCUCAUUGUUCAGCAGCAACCUGUUACUAAGCAACACUGGUUUUCUAAGGAGCGAAACAACCAUGCUUGUCUGGUAAAACUGCACCUCCAGGCAACUGGGGUCAAAGCUCUCGCGUGCAGCUGGACGAAGAUUUGGUCACCUGAGGUGGGAAGAUCCACCCUAAAUGUGGGUGUUCUCAUCCGUGGGCUGGGGGCCCAGACUGAAGAGAGAGGAGGAGACUGAACAUCAGCAUUCAUCUGUUUCCUGACUGCAGAGGUGACAUCACCAGCUGCCUCCAGCUCCGGAUGGCCUGACUCGCCUGCAUGAAAGGACAGCACCUCUGAAUUACAGAGUUCCCUCUGUGUAACAGCACCGUCUGCUCUGGAACUUGCUUUGUAGACCAGGUUGGUCUUGAACUCACAGAGAUCUGCUUGCCUCUGCCUCCUGAGUGCUGGGAUUACAGGUGGCAUCACUACUGCCCGGCUCCACUAUGUUUUGAUAUGAGCACUGGCCAUAGAAGUGUGCACCUCACGAUGGUCCAUCCAUCUCGGCUAUAGUGAUUUCUUUUUCCAUUGGUUUUGAGUUUUUAAAACAUUGCAUUAGGAUAUCAUUUGUCCAGGGUACUGGGCAUUUCUGAUGCUAUGAUACCCCAUAGACUCUGUGCCUGAGUGUCUCAGUGGCCCGGAGGUGAUGGCUACCCCAGUAUCUCUCCUCUCUUGUCUCCCCAGCUCCCAUUACUACUUCCCAUUGACUGGACCUGAAUGGAACCACAGUGUGGAAGUGUGGGACACAGGAGGGAGCAGACAGACCUGGAAACAGGCUUCCAAAGUCCAUUUCUUUAGCUCUGACUCUUCCCCCAGGUCUACCUUCCACGUUUCCACCUCCCGAGAUUCUCUGUUGGGGAGAAAACUCCCUCAACUGUGUGUCAUCCCUCGGCAGCCAGCAGACGGAAUGUAUGCCCCCUCAUUGUUUCAGAACACCCUCAGCUCUUGAUACUCUCAAAGAUAAUACCUACCCAGAGAGGUGGACACACCCGAAGGUGACCCUUUGUAUAACCCCUCUCUCUUAGGGAAGGGUUUAACUUCUAAUCCAGAGGGGAUGGAUGGAAGUGUCGCAGGACUGCAGGACACUGCGUGAGCCCCUUAGUAGCUGAGGCUCUUAGCCAUGCAGCUGCAAGGUUAGCCUGUCGACAGCCUGAGCAAACUUGGACAUGAGUUUUCCCCAGUCAUAUCUUUGGAUGAAAAGACAAACAGAUUACCGCUAACCUAUUCCGGGAGAGCCUGAGCAGAGACCCGGUGGAGCUCACAGGCACAGACAGUGGAACCCUGGGCUCCCCUCGUUACUGUCAUUUUAUUUUCUCUUAUGUAGACAGGUCGGUCAGGGCGGGGGAUCCCACAGAUUCCUCUGGAAACUGUCAAGAUGCUGGGAAAAUGAAUGCAAAACUGGCUUAGAUUGGGAUGCCCACGGUUUGGAUUUUCAAGGCCUGGGAGAAGAAACGAAACAGAACAAGGGAGACUUUCAGGAUGAGGCUGCUGCGCCAAAGACAGCCGCAGAAGGUCCUGGUUCCCAACCCUGGCUACCGCG